AGAGUUUGAUCAUGGCUCAGGACGAACGCUGGCGCCACGCUUAACACAUGCAAGUCGAACGAGAGAAGAGGAGCUUGCUUUUCUGAUCUAGUGGCGGACGGGUGAGUAACACGUGAGCAAUCUGCCUUUCAGAGGGGGAUACCGAUUGGAAACGAUCGUUAAUACCGCAUAACAUAAUUGAACCGCAUGAUUUGAUUAUCAAAGAUUUAUCGCUGAAAGAUGAGCUCGCGUCUGAUUAGCUAGUUGGUAAGGUAACGGCUUACCAAGGCGACGAUCAGUAGCCGGACUGAGAGGUUGAUCGGCCACAUUGGGACUGAGACACGGCCCAGACUCCUACGGGAGGCAGCAGUGGGGAAUAUUGCACAAUGGAGGAAACUCUGAUGCAGCGAUGCCGCGUGAGGGAAGAAGGUUUUAGGAUUGUAAACCUCUGUCUUCAGGGACGAAAAAAGACGGUACCUGAGGAGGAAGCUCCGGCUAACUACGUGCCAGCAGCCGCGGUAAUACGUAGGGAGCGAGCGUUGUCCGGAAUUACUGGGUGUAAAGGGAGCGUAGGCGGGAUCGCAAGUCAGAUGUGAAAACUAUGGGCUUAACCCAUAAACUGCAUUUGAAACUGUGGUUCUUGAGUGAAGUAGAGGUAAGCGGAAUUCCUAGUGUAGCGGUGAAAUGCGUAGAUAUUAGGAGGAACAUCAGUGGCGAAGGCGGCUUACUGGGCUUUAACUGACGCUGAGGCUCGAAAGCGUGGGGAGCAAACAGGAUUAGAUACCCUGGUAGUCCACGCCGUAAACGAUGAUUACUAGGUGUGGGGGGACUGACCCCUUCCGUGCCGCAGCAAACGCAAUAAGUAAUCCACCUGGGGAGUACGACCGCAAGGUUGAAACUCAAAGGAAUUGACGGGGGCCCGCACAAGCAGUGGAGUAUGUGGAUUAAUUCGAAGCAACGCGAAGAACCUUACCAGGUCUUGACAUCGUAUGCAUAGCUCAGAGAUGAGUGAAAUCUCUUCGGAGACAUAUAGACAGGUGGUGCAUGGUUGUCGUCAGCUCGUGUCGUGAGAUGUUGGGUUAAGUCCCGCAACGAGCGCAACCCUUACUGUUAGUUGCUACGCAAGAGCACUCUAGCAGGACUGCCGUUGACAAAACGGAGGAAGGUGGGGAUGACGUCAAAUCAUCAUGCCCCUUAUGACCUGGGCCUCACACGUACUACAAUGGCUGUCAACAGAGGGAAGCAAAGCCGCGAGGUGGAGCGAACCCCUAAAAGCAGUCUUAGUUCGGAUUGUAGGCUGCAACCCGCCUACAUGAAGUCGGAAUUGCUAGUAAUCGCAGAUCAGCAUGCUGCGGUGAAUACGUUCCCGGGCCUUGUACACACCGCCCGUCACGCCAUGGGAGUCGGUAACACCCGAAGCCUGUAGUCUAACCGCAAGGAGGACGCAGUCGAAGGUGGGAUUGAUGACUGGGGUGAAGUCGUAACAAGGUA
Molecule: ribosomal RNA, 1470 nt
Filed under: metagenome
Description: bacterial SSU rRNA
Rfam family: Bacterial small subunit ribosomal RNA
Source: RNAcentral